AGCGGGCUGCAGGGCUGCGGGCGCUUGGUUCGGCCUGGCCCGGCCGGCGGCUCCUAACACCGGGCGGGCGGCUGCGGCGGCACUUCCGGGUUGGCCUUCUCCAUGUUGGUCUCGGGAACGUGAAGGGGCGGGGCCUCGAGGUCAGGGGUCAGCACCUCCCUGGUUGCCGUGGCGACUGGAGGCGCGCGACGCGGGCGCAAUGGCGGGGACCCGGGGCUUGAUGCUGCUUGGGCCUGGCCCAGUGGCGGGUCCUAGGGACGUGGGUACCUGCAGAGGCCGGCAGAUGGAGAUUCAGAAACAUAAGGACAACAAGAAACUUCCCCAAGGUAUCAUUAUAGUCUUUAGACUUCAGACACACACCACACCUCAAAUAUAUACACAACUGAAAGGAAAAUUAAGGAAGUUUUUCAAAGAACCCUAUUCCGAGUAAGAAGUGUGUUGCAUGAAUUUCUAAGGUCUCUGAAAAGCAACUUAUUCACUGGAGAUGUGAGGAGCCAUCCGCACAUCACAAUUCUAUAGACAUCAAACGCAUGAAGCAUUUCGGAUCUGCUUUAAGACUGAGGCAGACUUUCCAUCUGGACACAGCCGACCAUCCAUGUGUCAUUACAAUGAAUCCAGCACUUCCCUGGAAGCUGGAAGGGUCAAAUUCAACUUCAACUCUGCCACUUCCUGCUUAACUUGCUGUUUAACCUUGGGCAAGCUGCCAUCCCACACGAGGCCGAAGGUGUCGGUUUUUAAAAUACAGAAAUUUGGUUCCAUGAGGGAUUAUCAAUAUACUGCUGGUGGGCCAAAUUCCAUCUGCUACUUGCCUUUGUAAAUAAAGUUUUAUUGAAACACAAACAUGCCCAUUAGUUUACUCUUGUCUGUGACUACAAGGGCAAAGUUGAAUAGUUGUUACAGAGACCAUCAGGCUCACAAAGCCUAGGUUAUUUACUAUCUGCCCAUUUACAGAGUAAGUUUGCCAGCCCUGGACUGGAUAAUUUUUUGAGUUCUUUCUAAUUCUAGAAUUCUUUAUAUAUUUUAUGAAACCCCUAAUGUUUAUAUAUUAAUUAUUUCAAUACCCGUGUCUUUACUGAGUCCCUCCUAUGAAGCAUACAUCAAGACAUAUGUGUGAUACAUUAACUAAACUUUUAACAGUAUCUUAAAUAGGAUUUCAAUGACUAACAGCUCUUGGAAAUAUCCAAGGUAACAUUUGGGGGCAAAUGUCUUAUGAUUUGAUUAUCAUUGGUAAAUAGAGCAUAUCUUUUUUUCCACUAACAAUGUUUAAGAAGUUAAAAAAAAAUCAAGAAAACCCCGUAUGGCACUAGAGACUUAUUGCAUUAAGACAUCAUCUUAACAGAUUGUUUAGUUUUGGUAAUAUAAUUUGACAUCUAAACAUAAGCUGAGAGGGAUCUCCCUCAAAACCUUUGAUAAUAUGAUUCAUUGUCAAAUGUUUGUUUUGCCUAUCUGGCACUCAUUAAUUAAUUCUUUUUAAUAUAGCUUGGAUUUACUGAUUUUGAAAAAGAGAAUUAUUCUUAUUGAUGUUGCUAAAAUAUCCAGGUGGCUUGAAUUUCACCAACUAGAUAGUUUAAUCUAGCACAUUUGUGUAGCCCUAAUCAAAUCUUUACUAACAGAUGUGAGAAGCCCAGUACUGGAGCUAAUGUUUGUGUCUCAAUGAUAAUUAAAUUAGCUUAAUAAGGAAAAUAAAUGAACAAUAAUCACCAAAAUUUUUCCCUAAACCUGUGUUAUAGUCUUAAAAACAUUUUUUCCCCUAUGGAGGCUUUUGGUAAUAAAACACAAAUUGAGGGAUUUUAAUUAAAAGAAAUUUUUUUUUCAAGAACUGGUCAUGUACUAAAUUGCUUAUAAUCAAAUAAUCAAGUAGCAUUUCUUUUAUUAUAAGAGCAAAACCUAUAAUUAAGCCAAAAUUCAAAUUUGUUUUUAAAGGUUGAAUAAUCUUUUGUUUUGGCCAAUAGUAUGUGGAUUUUUUUUUUAAGUAUUAUCUCUUUGUAGUAUUUUCUAAUGGAUAGGAAAUGCCUUUCUCAGGUUGAAUGAUUAUUUCCACAUAGAAUUAGUUCCUGCUUACAACAGUGCUCCACUAAUGUAAUGGCUCGGUGAAUUGGCUUUAUAAUUCAUUAAUCAUAGCUCACAUUGAGCUUUUGGCUCCAGGUGACAGUGCCCACCACAGGCCAAAUAACUUCUCAUUUAAAGGCAAUUUGUACAAAUAGGGAAGGUGAGAAUUCUCACAGUCCCAGAGGGAUUGAAGAGUUUUAAAAAACCAAGAUAAGGCAUUUUAUGGAAGACAGGUUGAUGGAAGAAAAGUGGCCAUUGGAGGAUGAGGCAGAUGGCUUUCCAGGGAGGCCCUGGAGCUGCCACCAUGGGGAAGGCCAUGUUGCAGCUGCUGAUCAGAGCACAUUGGACGGUGUUUCCGUGUGAACAUGAAGACAAUGCUGCCUCUGUUUCUGUGACGCUGUGCUCUGAUCUUGCUGGAGGCGAAGUGGUGUCAGCUGUGCUUACAGGACAGUCAGUGGUGGUAGAAAAGAGGCCAGUGUGACCUGUGAAGGACUGGGCCCCUCUCACUCAACCUGAGUGCCUGCAGUUGUGGCCACCUUUAUUUGUGUAUUCUACUGUAUUUAUUUAUUUGCCUGGCUAAUUAGCUCUGUGCCACAUUCCUAAGCUAGAUGUGUCCCUUCAUGUAAGUGAGAGGGAGACAGAAAGAAAGACUGAGGUGGGGGGUAGGAGAAAGAGAGGAAAGCAAGCAAGAAGAAAGAGAAAGAGAGAAGAAGAAAGGAAGAGGAAAGAAAGAGAGAAAGAGAAAGAGAAGGAAGGAAGGAGAAAGAGAAGGAAAGAAGGAGCCUUCUAAUUUUAUUUCAUUUCUCCAAUAAAUGUUCCUAUAUUAAGACUUUAGACAAAGAUUAGAAAUAUGAUUUGACAGAAAGUGUAUGGAUGUGUUGUUCUAUUGCAUUGUAAGUAAAGUAUCCAUGGCAAUAUACAAAUAAUACAGCUCCUACCCCUAUUCUCUGUUGUUACUUUCAUGUGUUGUCUUAACUUUUUAAAUUUCAAGAUAAUAUUGCGCUUAUUUAUUUUUCCAUGAGGAGGCCUAGGAUUUAGCUUGAUUAGAAAAGCUGUGGAAAAUGAAUGUGCUAAUUACUUUAAAUCAAAUUGAAAAUAAAUUUUAUCCUGUUUCAUGCAAAACAAAAAAAAAAAA
RNAcentral lists this long non-coding RNA (3184 nucleotides) under Homo sapiens (human). Its description in RNAcentral is "cancer susceptibility 2, transcript variant 2 (CASC2)". The record is from RNAcentral. Lineage: Eukaryota; Metazoa; Chordata; Mammalia; Primates; Hominidae.